UGGGGAAUAUUGCACAAUUGGCGCAAGCCUGAUGCAGCCAUGCCGCGUGUAUGAAGAAGGCCUUCGGGUUGUAAAGUACUUUCAGCGGGGAGGAAGGGAGUAAAGUUAAUACCUUUGCUCAUUGACGUUACCCGCAGAAGAAGCACCGGCUAACUCCGUGCCAGCAGCCGCGGUAAUACGGAGGGUGCAAGCGUUAAUCGGAAUUACUGGGCGUAAAGCGCACGCAGGCGGUUUGUUAAGUCAGAUGUGAAAUCCCCGGGCUCAACCUGGGAACUGCAUCUGAUACUGGCAAGCUUGAGUCUCGUAGAGGGGGGUAGAAUUCCAGGUGUAGCGGUGAAAUGCGUAGAGAUCUGGAGGAAUACCGGUGGCGAAGGCGGCCCCCUGGACGAAGACUGACGCUAAGGUGCGAAAGCGUGGGGAGCAAACAGG
RNAcentral lists this ribosomal RNA (429 nucleotides) under Chloroflexota bacterium. Its description in RNAcentral is "Chloroflexi bacterium partial 16S ribosomal RNA". It matches the Rfam family "Bacterial small subunit ribosomal RNA", at positions 355 to 776 of the family's 1533-position model. Lineage: Bacteria; Bacillati; Chloroflexota. The record is from RNAcentral.